Molecule: ribosomal RNA, 758 nt
Filed under: Pediococcus acidilactici
Lineage: Bacteria; Bacillati; Bacillota; Bacilli; Lactobacillales; Lactobacillaceae
Description: bacterial SSU rRNA
Rfam family: Bacterial small subunit ribosomal RNA
Source: RNAcentral
GCGGUGAAAUGCGUAGAUAUAUGGAAAGAACACCAGUGGCGAAGGCGGCUGUCUGGUCUGUAACUGACGCUGAGGCUCGAAAGCAUGGGUAGCGAACAGGAUUAGAUACCCUGGUAGUCCAUGCCGUAAACGAUGAUUACUAAGUGUUGGAGGGUUUCCGCCCUUCAGUGCUGCAGCUAACGCAUUAAGUAAUCCGCCUGGGGAGUACGACCGCAAGGUUGAAACUCAAAAGAAUUGACGGGGGCCCGCACAAGCGGUGGAGCAUGUGGUUUAAUUCGAAGCUACGCGAAGAACCUUACCAGGUCUUGACAUCUUCUGCCAACCUAAGAGAUUAGGCGUUCCCUUCGGGGACAGAAUGACAGGUGGUGCAUGGUUGUCGUCAGCUCGUGUCGUGAGAUGUUGGGUUAAGUCCCGCAACGAGCGCAACCCUUAUUACUAGUUGCCAGCAUUCAGUUGGGCACUCUAGUGAGACUGCCGGUGACAAACCGGAGGAAGGUGGGGACGACGUCAAAUCAUCAUGCCCCUUAUGACCUGGGCUACACACGUGCUACAAUGGAUGGUACAACGAGUCGCGAAACCGCGAGGUUUAGCUAAUCUCUUAAAACCAUUCUCAGUUCGGACUGUAGGCUGCAACUCGCCUACACGAAGUCGGAAUCGCUAGUAAUCGCGGAUCAGCAUGCCGCGGUGAAUACGUUCCCGGGCCUUGUACACACCGCCCGUCACACCAUGAGAGUUUGUAACACCCAAAGCCGGUGGGG